This 953-nucleotide ribosomal RNA is filed under the name Cortinarius cf. saniosus HL04-506O. Its description in RNAcentral is "eukaryotic LSU rRNA". The stretch from base 572 to 953 matches the Rfam family "Eukaryotic large subunit ribosomal RNA", at positions 1 to 376 of the family's 3401-position model. The record is from RNAcentral. Lineage: Eukaryota; Fungi; Basidiomycota; Agaricomycetes; Agaricales; Cortinariaceae.
UUAGAGGAAGUAAAAGUCGUAACAAGGUUUCCGUAGGUGGACCUGCGGAAGGAUCAUUAUUGAAAUAAACCUGAUGGGUUGUUGCUGGUUCUCUAGGGAGCAUGUGCACGCSUUGUCAUCUUUAUAUAUCCACCUGUGCACCUUUUGUAGACCUUUCAGGUCUAUGUUGCUUCAUUUACCACAAUGCAUGUUAACAGAAUGUUGUGCCUAUAUAUAAUAUAUACAACUUUCAGCAACGGAUCUCUUGGCUCUCGCAUCGAUGAAGAACGCAGCGAAAUGCGAUAAGUAAUGUGAAUUGCAGAAUUCAGUGAAUCAUCGAAUCUUUGAACGCACCUUGCGCUCCUUGGUAUUCCGAGGAGCAUGCCUGUUUGAGUGUCAUUAAUAUAUAUAUCAGCCCUCUCUUGUUGAGUGGUUUGGAUGUGGGAGUUUGCUGGCCUCUUAAAUGAGGUUCAGCUCUCCUGAAAUGCAUUAGCAGAACAACCUGUUCAUUGGUGUGAUAACUAUCUACGCUAUUGAAUGUGAAGGGAAGUUCAGCUUUCUAACAGUCUUUGGACAAUUUACAUCAUUAAUGUGACCUCAAAUCAGGUAGGACUACCCGCUGAACUUAAGCAUAUCAAUAAGCGGAGGAAAAGAAACUAACAAGGAUUCCCCUAGUAACUGCGAGUGAAGCGGGAAAAGCUCAAAUAUAAAAUCUGGCGGUCUUUUGGCUGUCCGAGUUGUAAUCUAGAGAAGUGUCAUCCGCGCUGGACCGUGUACAAGUCUCCUGGAAUGGAGCAUCAUAGAGGGUGAGAAUCCCGUCUUUGACAUGGACUGCCAGGGCUUUGUGAUGCGCUCUCAAAGAGUCGAGUUGUUUGGGAAUGCAGCUCAAAAUGGGUGGUAAUUCCAUCUAAAGCUAAAUAUGGGCGAGAGACCGAUAGCGAACCAGUACCGUGAGGGAAAGAUGAAAAGAACCU